RNAcentral lists this transfer RNA (72 nucleotides) under Camelus dromedarius (Arabian camel). It matches the Rfam family "tRNA". Rfam says of the family: Transfer RNA (tRNA) molecules are approximately 80 nucleotides in length. Lineage: Eukaryota; Metazoa; Chordata; Mammalia; Artiodactyla; Camelidae. The record is from Rfam by way of RNAcentral. RNAcentral also lists the same sequence under 1 other name.
UGGGGAAUAGCUCAGUGGUAGAGCACAUGCUUAGCAUGCACGAGGUCCUAGGUUCAAUCCCCAGUACCUUCA